GGAGAGUGGAAUUCCACGUGUAGCGGUGAAAUGCAUAGAGAUGUGGAGGAACACCAGUGGCGAAGGCGACUCUCUGGUCUGUAACUGACGCUGAGGCGCGAAAGCGUGGGGAGCGAACAGGAUUAGAUACCCUGGUAGUCCACGCCGUAAACGAUGAGUGCUAAGUGUUAGAGGGUUUCCGCCCUUUAGUGCUGCAGCAAACGCAUUAAGCACUCCGCCUGGGGAGUACGGUCGCAAGACUGAAACUCAAAGGAAUUGACGGGGGCCCGCACAAGCGGUGGAGCAUGUGGUUUAAUUCGAAGCAACGCGAAGAACCUUACCAGGUCUUGACAUCCUCUGACAACCCUAGAGAUAGGGCUUCCCCUUCGGGGGCAGAGUGACAGGUGGUGCAUGGUUGUCGUCAGCUCGUGUCGUGAGAUGUUGGGUUAAGUCCCGCAACGAGCGCAACCCUUGAUCUUAGUUGCCAGCAUUCAGUUGGGCACUCUAAGGUGACUGCCGGUGACAAACCGGAGGAAGGUGGGGGAUGACGUCAAAUCAUCAUGCCCCUUAUGACCUGGGCUACACACGUGCUACAAUGGGCAGAACAAAGGGCAGCGAAGCCGCGAGGCUAAGCCAAUCCCACAAAUCUGUUCUCAGUUCGGAUCGCAGUCUGCAACUCGACUGCGUGAAGCUGGAAUCGCUAGUAAUCGCGGAUCAGCA
This 699-nucleotide ribosomal RNA is filed under the name Bacillus sp. SKS9. Its description in RNAcentral is "bacterial SSU rRNA". It matches the Rfam family "Bacterial small subunit ribosomal RNA", at positions 656 to 1354 of the family's 1533-position model. The record is from RNAcentral. Lineage: Bacteria; Bacillati; Bacillota; Bacilli; Caryophanales; Bacillaceae.